GACGAACGCUGGCGGCGUGCUUAACACAUGCAAGUCGUACGGUAAGGCCCUUUCGGGGGUACACGAGUGGCGAACGGGUGAGUAACACGUGAGUAACCUGCCCACAACUUUGGGAUAACGCUAGGAAACUGGUGCUAAUACUGGAUAUGUGCUCCUGCUGCAUGGUGGGGGUUGGAAAGCUCCGGCGGUUGUGGAUGGACUCGCGGCCUAUCAGCUUGUUGGUGGGGUAGUGGCCUACCAAGGCGGCGACGGGUAGCCGGCCUGAGAGGGUGACCGGCCACAUUGGGACUGAGAUACGGCCCAGACUCCUACGGGAGGCAGCAGUGGGGAAUAUUGCACAAUGGGCGCAAGCCUGAUGCAGCAACGCCGCGUGCGGGAUGACGGCCUUCGGGUUGUAAAACGCUUUCAGCAGGGACGAAGCUUUUUGUGACGGUACCUGCAGAAGAAGCACCGGCUAACUACGUG
Molecule: ribosomal RNA, 465 nt
Filed under: uncultured bacterium
Lineage: Bacteria
Description: partial 16S ribosomal RNA
Rfam family: Bacterial small subunit ribosomal RNA
Source: RNAcentral